UUACUUAAAAUAUUUACUAUUGAAUUAUGUGUAUUAAAUUGCUAGUUUGAAUUGUAUCUUCGAUUAUCUGGUUUAUUUGGUUUCACCUGCACUGUUUAUUCAUUUAGUUGAUUAUUUGGCUACUCGGUUAUGAUAAACUGUGUUUGCUUGUUUAGAUGCUUUUUAGGUUAAUAUGUAAGUAAGGAAUAAGGUGUUGGUAUGCGAUUAGUAGUUGUUUGGAUGAUAAGAAUCUAUACAUAUGAAAAUUUACUAAGUAUCCGGAGAAAGGAUGGACAGAUCCGAUACAU
Molecule: long non-coding RNA, 287 nt
Filed under: Carica papaya (papaya)
Lineage: Eukaryota; Viridiplantae; Streptophyta; Magnoliopsida; Brassicales; Caricaceae
Description: long non-coding RNA (CPAP_LNC006692)
Source: RNAcentral